GAUCAAAGCAGCUGCAUCAUUUCAUUAACCUUCCCUCAGCACCACUGGAGAAGAUGGUGAGCGAGGCUCCCCAGCCAGUGUACCCCCUGCCUAUGGAAUCUUGGCUGCUCCUCAGAGGAUGCUGAAGUGUGGAAGAGGCUUGGAUUUCAGACCAGACUGGCAGACUGAGAGCCUGUUCACAGACCAUUACUGACAACAAAGACUUCCUGUUUGUCACACCAAAACUCCGUUCAGCGUGUGAGUCCAGGAGCUUGGAGGCAGCAUCUUCACCAUG
This is a non-coding RNA of Manis javanica (Malayan pangolin), 274 nucleotides long. NCBI's taxonomy places the organism in Eukaryota, Metazoa, Chordata, Mammalia, Pholidota, Manidae. The record is from RefSeq and is a predicted model, not a curated record.